This 482-nucleotide ribosomal RNA is filed under the name uncultured bacterium. RNAcentral describes it as "partial 16S ribosomal RNA". It matches the Rfam family "Bacterial small subunit ribosomal RNA", at positions 30 to 507 of the family's 1533-position model. The record is from RNAcentral.
AUUGAACGCUGGCGGCAUGCUUUACACAUGCAAGUCGAACGGUAACAGGCCGCAAGGUGCUGACGGGUGGCGAACGGGUGAGUAAUGCACCCGAAAGUGACCAGUCGUGGGCGUUAACUAAUCGUCAGGGUAGCUAAUACCGCAUACGAUCUAUGCUUGAAAGGGGGGGACCGGAAGGCAUAGCGUGAGUGGAGCGGGCGGUGUCGGAUUAGGAAGUUGGUGGGGUUAAGGCUCACGAAGCCAAAGACUUGGAGCUGUUCUGGGAGUACGAGGGGCCACACUGGGACUGAGACACGGCCCAGACUCCUACGGGAGGCAGCAGUGGGGAAUUUGGGACAAUGGGCGCAAGCCUUAUCCAGCAAUGCCGCGUGCAGGAAGAAGGCCUUCGGUUUGUAAACUGCUUUUGUACGGAACGAAACGGCUCUGGUUAAUACCCGGGGCUAAUGACGGUACCGUAAGAAUAAGCACCGGCUAACUACGUG